RNAcentral lists this small RNA (1119 nucleotides) under Pongo abelii (Sumatran orangutan). RNAcentral's name for it is "retained intron". Lineage: Eukaryota; Metazoa; Chordata; Mammalia; Primates; Hominidae. The record is from RNAcentral.
GCAGACUGCAGGCGCGCGUCAUGGCUGCUUUGAGACAGCCCCAGGUCGCGGAGCUGCUGGCCGAGGCCCGGCGAGCCUUCCGGGAGGAGUUCGGGGCCGACCCCGAGCUGGCCGUGUCCGCGCCGGGCCGCGUCAACCUCAUCGGGGAACACACGGACUACAACCAGGGCCUGGUGCUGCCUAUGGCUCUGGAGCUCAUGACGGUGCUGGUGGGCAGCCCCCGCAAGGAUGGGCUGGUGUCUCUCCUCACCACCUCUGAGGGUGCCGAUGAGCCCCAGCGGCUGCAGUUUCCACUGCCCACAGCCCUGCGCUCCCUGGAGCCUGGGACUCCUCGGUGGGCCAACUAUGUAAAGGGAGUGAUUCAGUACUACCCAGCUGCCCCCCUCCCUGGCUUCAGUGCAGUGGUGGUCAGCUCAGUGCCCCUGGGGGGUGGCCUGUCCAGCUCAGCAUCCUUGGAAGUGGCCACGUACACCUUCCUCCAGCAGCUCUGUCCAGGUACCAGCUAGGCCCCAGCCCUGACCCAGCCCUCCUUCCCUGAGGUCUCCAGGUGGUCCCAGCUUCUACUAUGCCUUAUGGAGGGGGUGGUAGGGAAUCUCUCUGGAGUGUCAUUGGAGCCACUGCUGCUCCCACCAGCCCUAGCCUCCCCACCUCACCCUGUACUGCAGACUCGGGCACAAUAGCUGCCCGCGCCCAGGUGUGUCAGCAGGCCGAGCACAGCUUCGCAGGGAUGCCCUGUGGCAUCAUGGACCAGUUCAUCUCACUUAUGGGACAGAAAGGCCACGCGCUGCUCAUUGACUGCAGGUUGGGCUCGCUCCCCUCGUCCCCUCCUGCCCUGCACUCUGGAGCUCCUGGGUGGAGUGUGCCCACUGCCUGGCGCAGCAAGCACACGCUUGGCCUCAUCAUCUCCCCCAUUGUAACUCCACCCCAGGUCCUUGGAGACAAGCCUGGUGCCACUCUCGGACCCCAAGCUGGCCGUGCUCAUCACCAACUCUAAUGUCCGCCACUCCCUGGCUUCCAGCGAGUACCCUGUGCGGCGGCGCCAGUGUGAAGAAGUGGCCCGGGCGCUAGGCAAGGAAAGCCUCCGGGAGGUGCAACUGGAAGAGCUAGAGGCUGCCCGGG